UACGGGGGGAGCAAGCGUUGUUCGGAUUUACUGGGCGUAAAGGGCGCGUAGGCGGCGUAACAAGUCACUUGUGAAAUCUCCGGGCUUAACCCGGAGCGGCCAAGUGAUACUGUUGUGCUAGAGUGCGGAAGGGGCUACUGGAAUUCUCGGUGUAGCGGUGAAAUGCGUAGAGAUCAUGAGGAAGACCAGUGGCGAAGGCGGGUCUCUGGACAGUUCCUGACACUGAGGCACGAAGGCCAGGGGAGCAAACGGG
RNAcentral lists this ribosomal RNA (253 nucleotides) under uncultured bacterium. RNAcentral's name for it is "partial 16S ribosomal RNA". It matches the Rfam family "Bacterial small subunit ribosomal RNA", at positions 524 to 776 of the family's 1533-position model. The record is from RNAcentral.